UAUUAAUCACAUCGCCUUCCAGCUGAGCGGCAUUCUUCGAUGCGUAGUAUUUUUCGAAAGGAAGAUUCUUCAUCGCCUCCAGUACCAGUUUGUCCAGCAAAUCAUUCUUUGUUCCCUAUUCCUAGCAUAAUCUGUAGAUCUUGCAGCUGGUUUUCUUCAAGCACGCGUUGUGUUGCUCGUCUUGAACAAGUUUUGCUGUGGAUCCGUGAUCGAAAUCUAGUGAAGUGCUCAAACAAAAGCGCCUUAAGCCUCAAGUGCAGCUGACUGCGAAAUGAUGGAGCUUGACAAUUAUGAUUACGAUUAUGAAGGUGAAUGCUUUAAAAGAUGGAACUUGGCUUUUGUUGUCGGCAGUUCUUGUGGCCCGUUGCACGUGCAACUGAAAAGGAAGUUAAGGUUACUGAUUCUCGAGAUGUGGCAAUUGCGAACACAUUUGUAUGCCUCAUUUGGCUUAAUAAAUUCGUAAUUAAUUAGAAUCAAAA
Drosophila eugracilis is the source of this 479-nucleotide long non-coding RNA. RefSeq lists it as uncharacterized. Lineage: Eukaryota; Metazoa; Arthropoda; Insecta; Diptera; Drosophilidae. The transcript is spliced from 2 exons. The record is from RefSeq and is a predicted model, not a curated record.